Non-coding RNA from Paramuricea clavata, 3036 nucleotides. The record is from the annotation of a GenBank genome assembly. Lineage: Eukaryota; Metazoa; Cnidaria; Anthozoa; Malacalcyonacea; Plexauridae.
CCACUUUUUCGGACGAAAAGCAACAAAAAAUUCGUCGAAAUAAGCAAAUUUUCAGGCAAAAUAUUAGCAAAUAUAUCGUAUUCACUCAUAUUAGCCGCGCAUGUGAACGCCACAGGGGGUAUGGGUCCAAUAGCUUAUGGAUCGACCAAUCAGGAUCGUUUUUCAAUCCCGUGUGGCCAGAGCCACUCAACGAUGGCUCUGGGUACGAGAUUGCCUUAGUACAGAUCAGUGGUUGGUACACCCCGUAGGCCACUCAUAUAACUAAACAGACAACGGCAAAAUGUUAUCUAUUUGUUAAACAGUGAAUCUAAUAAAUAUAUAAAAUAAAUAAAUAAAUAUUGUGUUCAAUCUUUGCAGGUUGACAAUGACGCGCGCAGUGAAACUGAGGAAUCUGCAGACAUUGACGACAAAAAUGGCGUCAUUCAAAAUGGCGUCGGAAAUGGAAAACACAAAAUACAAUGAUUCCAUUCCGUUCUUAUCGUUGCUGUGAAAGUUUUCGAAAAUAUGCGAGAGUUUUAGAGAACAUGUGAGAGUUUUAAAUGGAAUUCAUAGUGUAGGUAGAAUUAAGUUAAACGGUAUUUUAUGUCGUAUUUAUUGCAGGCGGAAAAUAACAAUUUCCUAAAAGCGUAAAAUAUAGAGAAUGAUAGUAUAAUUUCAGAAUUGAAAAAUGGCCUUUGAGCAUUCUGAUUGGCUCCCUCAGUUACUACUCUGAGGCAAUAGUUACUGCUCAGACUGCUCUGAGCAGAAACUAUUGGUUUUCCAAAAAAAAAUGGCUUAAAAUCAGAAGUAAAUUAUUUAUGCAAGUUAUAUUCAUAAAAUAAACGCGUAAAACUUUUUCAAUAGUGAAUUAGCUAAAAUAAUUUGCGGUCGCCUCAGGCUCGGUGAUUACAAGCCUAUAUCUUGUAAUCACCUCUAAUUGUUAAAUAGUAACCAGUAAUUAAGGGAAAGAUGGCGUCACAGAGAGAUAUAGCUGCAUAAGCUACUGCAAUAACACUGGAACAACUGGAUUAGAGCUAGAUGACUCGUAAAACUGGCAACAUAACUUUGGCUGGCCUAGCUCAAAGCCUCGAAAUAAUGAACAUUUAUAAAUUAUUUAGUCGUGUUGAUUUGGAUGAAAUACUGUAUAAGCAGUAGAAAUUCUGAUUCAACUGAUAAAUAUUAGGACCAAUCAAAUUAGGGAGUUUGUUUUAUGAUUGUUGUAAUAUUGUUACUAACAAGUUGCUAUAAACUAACAACCUUGCAGUAAAUCUGUUGACAGACCUGGAGAAUAUGUUAAUGUUCCUCGGAUCCUGAAUUUUUCUAUUUCAAAUGAUCUUCAUGCAAGUGCGCAAAAACAACAAGGUAUAUAUAUACCUGUCUCAUAUGACAGAUAAGGAAAUGUGAUAUAUAUAUAUAUAUAUAUAUAUAUAUAUAUAUAUAUAUAUAUAUAUAUAUAUAUAUAUAUAUAUAUAUAUAUAUAUAUAUAUAUAUAAUGAUAAAAAUUGUUCCUCAAUAUUCUUGCAAAUGUUCCUCCGGAUCCCGAGAUCACGUCUUUCCAGAUCUGUCUGUUGAGAGCAUAUCUAUGGUUGAGAGUUGUUAUUAUAGCAACUUUCUCAACAAGUUGGGAGUAAGAAGUUUAAACACAACCUGAUAUUGGUUUAUUUGAUUGGAAGAACUUUGAAUGUAACAAGUGUGCAGAGCUAACAAACGUGAAUGACAUGAUUAGUCUAAACGUGUUUAGUUUUAAGAUGUUUUUUCGUUUAUAAUUACAGUACUAUUCGUCUUCAUUGAUACUGGUUUAUAUAUCGAUCAUUGCUCACACACCGUAACAUUCCCACAAACUAUCGUGGCUUUUGAUGCAUUUGAUGCGCAGGAUUUAAAUAGUGCUAUCCAGUGAUUGGAAUGUUGCAUUGUUAUUUUUUAAUUGUUUUCAAAAUCCCCAGUGGCAUCGAGUCACUCAUUGUUGCCGUCCAUGGCGGAUCUGAUGAAUUUGUUACUGUGCACGCGGAAAGCAUGAAACUUCACAAAUUUUCGUACAGAUCCGAUUUCGUCCAGUCUCGUGUGAACGCACAGGCGAGAGAGUACGGUUACGAAUUGGUCCGGCUCCGUGUGAAAGGGUCUCAAGUUUAUUCCAAAUAAAAAUCGACAUCAGGUUGUGUUCCGCGUGCUACAGUACUGUAAUUAAAUUAAUGAAUAAUUUGUAAAAUAGUACACCAUGUAUAUAACUUGGCAUAUUUGAGUCGCUCCACUCCAGGCUAUGAACACUGAGGCUUUGUGAUUGGCUGAUUAUAACAGUAAAACUAUUUUUAUAGCCGUUUAUUGUCUUUUAGUAAAAGACAAUAAACGGCUAUAAAAAUCAUCUUUCUGAAGAACGAGUUAUAGACACUGUUAAGUUUUGUUUCAGAAAGCAAAUCACAAAACGUAGCUAAACGUGUUCAUAUCUGGUCAGCAAUGAAAAGGUGUGUUUAAUUAAUUCAAUAGUUUACAAUGUUAGAUCAUAUAGAUACUAAUGUUAUCUUUUGUGUAGUGUGUAGUUAGGAAACAUUCAAUGGCAUCGGAUAAAUAAUGCUCAUUGAUUUUUGCAUUGCAAUAAUUUGGAUGUAGUAUACAUUGAUGCAGAAAUAUUCAUGCGUAAUAAUAUAUAAUUGUUGAAGGGAUUUGUAAAUGCAGGGUGCGAUAAUUCGCGUACCGGAGGUACGCCAAAUGUAUGGUCUGGUACUUCUUUGUUUUUAGCCAAGUACCACGUAGGUACGCGGAAAUUUACUAUUGGCGUACCUACAUUUUCCUUCUAGCAAUAACUAGCAAACCUACCAAAGUAUUCAAAACCGUGAAGAACUUUAGCUGUACAAAUAGCUGUACAUGUAAAUUCCACGCAUCCGACAUAUUUUGGGAUGAAAAAAGCCAAUCUUUGUGCUUGAUCAAAAAAUUUAUCGUCAGGAGCGUAGGAACCGGGGGGGGGGGGCAGGCCCCCAAGUUUUGCCAAUUGCCCUUUUUCCGGGAGCAAAGUGCCCUUUUCUUCGGUGAAAAAUGUCAUUAAGAUUGCAUUUUUUGGCCCAA